Long non-coding RNA from Amphiprion ocellaris (clown anemonefish), 836 nucleotides. The record is from Ensembl. Lineage: Eukaryota; Metazoa; Chordata; Actinopteri; Pomacentridae.
GCAAUGUUUUAAGGCUAAAACAUUAUACAAAAACUAAAUUUGAGGGACUGCUACUAACUGAAGCAAGAAAAAGCAAAAUUUGUAUCUUUUAAACACUGAAUUGUUGUAGCAAUGCCAUGUUUAUCUUUCAGGAGGAGCCCACCCAUCUCUGUUCGAAGUACAUGUGCUCUAGGCAUCAUCUCUCUAUUUCCCAGCCUCAGAGAUCUAUAGUCGGACAAGGGAUAUGAACACUUCUAUGACCCAGAGAGUGGAUCUGGCUACUUGGCCUGGAGGAUAAAGACUGUUCAGGGCAACACUGCAGCUCAGCCCCAGAGAUGCUCCACAAGCACAACCUAUCAAGAUAGUCCAAAGAGAAAGAGGGAUGUUCUCUGCACUGAUAAGCAGCUGCUUGGUGAGCACUGUCAUGAAGCAAUAUCCUUUUUGAAACAUUCAACUGAUGAAUCAGCCAUCAAAGAGCGAAUGAGGGCCACAUUUCAGUACCGCCAAACACUGGUUCAAGAUCAGCAGUGCUCUUCGACAGUCUUUGACAUCUUCCCACGAUUCCUCGACAUCACUGGCUUGAUUGAACAAGACUUCACCAUGAUGUUUGGAGAGGAAGUGUCGGGCAGAUUUUUGGCAAAAUGGCCUACCUUUUUCAAGCCUAGAAUCCUGGCAGACUGCAAAAAACUGACUUCUAAUGAGCACAUUGAAGAACUCAUGUCAUUGCAGCAUGACUCAGGCUGGGACAGUGAUCUGUCCAGCAUUCUUCUGUUGGUUCACCUGCUUCCUCCCACCCCCAAAGGCCACAAGAAGAGUGCUAAAAUCAGCCCAUGCCAGGCUGUUGACCAUGUUGUGAG